AACGAACGCUGGCGGCAUGCCUAACACAUGCAAGUCGAACGAGACCUUCGGGUCUAGUGGCGCACGGGUGCGUAACGCGUGGGAACCUGCCCUUAGGUUCGGAAUAACUCCCCGAAAGGGGUGCUAAUACCGGAUAAUGUCUUCGGACCAAAGAUUUAUCGCCUUUGGAUGGGCCCGCGUUGGAUUAGCUAGUUGGUAGGGUAAAAGCCUACCAAGGCGACGAUCCAUAGCUGGUCUGAGAGGAUGAUCAGCCACACUGGGACUGAGACACGGCCCAGACUCCUACGGGAGGCAGCAGUGGGGAAUAUUGAACAAUGGGAGAAAGCCUGAUCCAGCAAUGCCGCGUGAGUGAUGAAGGCCUUAGGGUUGUAAAGCUCUUUUACCCGGGAUGAUAAUGACAGUACCGGGAGAAUAAGCUCCGGCUAACUCCGUG
RNAcentral lists this ribosomal RNA (433 nucleotides) under uncultured bacterium. RNAcentral describes it as "partial 16S ribosomal RNA". It matches the Rfam family "Bacterial small subunit ribosomal RNA", at positions 29 to 507 of the family's 1533-position model. The record is from RNAcentral.